GCCGAGGUAGCUCAGACGGUAGAGCAGGGGACUGAAAAUCCCUGUGUCGGCGGUUCGAUUCCGUCCCUCGGCACCA
Molecule: transfer RNA, 76 nt
Filed under: Deltaproteobacteria bacterium
Lineage: Bacteria; Pseudomonadati; Myxococcota; Myxococcia
Also listed under: 1 other name
Description: tRNA-Phe
Rfam family: tRNA
About the family: Transfer RNA (tRNA) molecules are approximately 80 nucleotides in length. Their secondary structure includes four short double-helical elements and three loops (D, anti-codon, and T loops).
Source: RNAcentral